UGUCAUGCCAAUGGCACUGCCCGGUAGCUAAAUGCGGAAGAGAUAAGUGCUGAAAGCAUCUAAGCACGAAACUUGCCCCGAGAUGAGUUCUCCCUGACUCCUUGAGAGUCCUGAAGGAACGUUGAAGACGACGACGUUGAUAGGCCGGGUGUGUAAGCGCAGCGAUGCGUUGAGCUAACCGGUACUAAUGAACCGUGAGGCUUAACCUUACAACGCCGAAGGUGUUU
RNAcentral lists this ribosomal RNA (227 nucleotides) under Escherichia coli. RNAcentral's name for it is "partial 23S ribosomal RNA". It matches the Rfam family "Bacterial large subunit ribosomal RNA", at positions 2722 to 2925 of the family's 2925-position model. The record is from RNAcentral. Lineage: Bacteria; Pseudomonadati; Pseudomonadota; Gammaproteobacteria; Enterobacterales; Enterobacteriaceae.